GCAAGGCAGAGUAAGAUGGCUUAGGAUUGGUUAUUCUGAAAAUUUCAGAACCUAGGGCUCUGGAGUCUAGGGGCUGCCCAUCAUUGUCUGGUGCGGGGCCUUGGAAUGAUUAGGGCAGAGGAAUAGUGGCCCAGAGUGUGAGAGUCCCAGAGCGGAGGGGUGGGGCGGGUGCUCUGGAGUGGUUGGUUUGCAUGUGAAAGGCACGCUUAGAGACCAGUCCUUUACUAUCCCUAGGAAUUGAGGAGCCCUGGGAGGCGUGGUCUCUCCAGGGUCCGCAAGGCCUCCAGAUGUCAACGCAUCCGAAACACAUGAUUGAUGUGGGAAUUCAUGCAACGUCGCUGGGAAUUUGAAACCUGGUGCUCAUCUGGAGAUCAUGGUUGGGAAGAGGAGGCAGGAGCGUCGUCUGAGCUGGCUCAUGAGGGGAGUUUCAGCGUGUCGUGUGGCCCCUUGUUACAGGGCCUUUUGCCAAGGCUGCUCUUGGAGCCUGCCAAUAGCAUCAUGAAGACUCUGCACUCCUCGCAGUGACGAUGCUACAAACCCAGAAGGAGCAACUGCCUCAUCUCUGUUUCUCAGUGUAGAGAGUAAAUUGCACAAUGAGCCCUUGCCUCUGUCAUCUGCCUUCCCCUAGCUCCUUGACCCAGACAACACAGCCCUGUUCCUCCAUCUCCCA
RNAcentral lists this long non-coding RNA (670 nucleotides) under Homo sapiens (human). RNAcentral describes it as "HSALNT0342210". The record is from RNAcentral. Lineage: Eukaryota; Metazoa; Chordata; Mammalia; Primates; Hominidae.